UGGGGAAUAUUGGACAAUGGGCGAAAGCCUGAUCCAGCGACGCCGCGUGAGUGACGAAGGCCUUAGGGUUGUAAAGCUCUUUUGGCGGGGACGAUAAUGACGGUACCCGCAGAAUAAGCCCCGGCUAACUUCGUGCCAGCAGCCGCGGUAAUACGAAGGGGGCUAGCGUUGUUCGGAAUCACUGGGCGUAAAGCGCACGUAGGCGGAUUUGUAAGUCAGGGGUGAAAUCCCGGGGCUCAACCUCGGAACUGCCUUUGAUACUGCAAGUCUCGAGUUCGGGAGAGGUGAGUGGAAUUCCUAGUGUAGAGGUGAAAUUCGUAGAUAUUAGGAAGAACACCAGUGGCGAAGGCGGCUCACUGGCCCGAUACUGACGCUGAGGUGCGAAAGCGUGGGGAGCAAAACAGGAUUAGAUACCCCCGUAGUCCCUGAGCGGGCUGGCAAGGCGCAU
RNAcentral lists this ribosomal RNA (448 nucleotides) under uncultured bacterium. RNAcentral's name for it is "bacterial SSU rRNA". It matches the Rfam family "Bacterial small subunit ribosomal RNA", at positions 355 to 825 of the family's 1533-position model. The record is from RNAcentral.